CCUAGGGGGGAAGAUAUCUCGGCGUCAAACAUCAGGCUAAUUUAUCCCCACCACAUGAGAAGAAAACAAACAUUAUGCAUAAAAACAUACCUGUUCAUUACUCGCAGUUGACUAUUGUGGCUGUCGUCCAAUGUAUGCGGUGAAUUGGACGCGCUGUGUAGAAUAUGCCAUCGCUAGUCUGUGCCGCGGAAAGCUCCGUCUGUUGCCGCUACCAUGUUGUUUCUACGCCACGACAGAGAGGAAGAGGCGAAGCGAGAGGUUUUACUCCGCCCAAAAUCUGUCCACGGAAAUAAACCCACGAAGACCUGAGCCCUAGGACCAUGCCUCAGGACUACCUGGCAUGAUGACUCCUUGCUGUCCCCAGUCCACCUGGCCGUGCUGCUGCUCCAGUUUCAACUGUUCUGCCUGCUGCUAUGGAACCCUGACCUGUCCACCGGACGUGCUACCUGUCCCAGACCUGCUGUUUUCAACUCUCUAGAGGCCGCAGGAGCGGUAGAGAUACUCUUAAUGAUCGGCUAUGAAAAGCCAACUGACAUUUACUCCUGAGGUGCUGACUUGCUGCACCCUCAGCAACUAGUGUGAUUAUUAUUAUCUGACCCUGCUGGUCAUUUAUGAACAUUUGAACAUCUUGGCCAUGUUCUGUUAUCAUCUCCACCCGGCACAGCCAGAAGAGGACUGGACACCCCUCAUAGCCUGGUUCCUCUCUAGGUUUCUUCCUAGGUUUUGGCCUUUCUAGGGAGUUUUUCCUAGCCACCGUGCUUCUACACCUGCAUUGCUUGCUGUUUGGGGUUUUAGGCUGGAUUUCUGUACAGCACUUUGAGAUAUCAGAUGAUGUAAGAAGGGCUAUAUAAAUAAAUUAGAUUUGAUGUUA
Salvelinus fontinalis (brook trout) is the source of this 871-nucleotide long non-coding RNA. RefSeq lists it as uncharacterized. The transcript is spliced from 2 exons. NCBI's taxonomy places the organism in Eukaryota, Metazoa, Chordata, Actinopteri, Salmoniformes, Salmonidae. The record is from RefSeq and is a predicted model, not a curated record.